GCCCGGGUGGCGGAAUGGUAGACGCUGAGGACUUAAAAUCCUUUGUCCGUGAGGACGUGCGGGUUCAAGUCCCGCCUCGGGCACCA
This 86-nucleotide transfer RNA is filed under the name Puniceicoccales bacterium. RNAcentral's name for it is "tRNA-Leu". It matches the Rfam family "tRNA". From Rfam's summary of the family: Transfer RNA (tRNA) molecules are approximately 80 nucleotides in length. Their secondary structure includes four short double-helical elements and three loops (D, anti-codon, and T loops). The record is from RNAcentral. Lineage: Bacteria; Pseudomonadati; Verrucomicrobiota; Opitutia; Puniceicoccales.